AUUAUAUCAAAAAAAUAAAAAUAAAAACUGAUUUACCCUCUUUGAAUUUCAGCGUAGUGAUUUCAGCAGCCUGGGCAAUCCAUUUUCAUUUUAUCUCAAUAGUCUUUUUCCGUGAACCCUCAAUUCAAUUCGAAAUAAACUCGCCAAAUUGAAGCUGGAAUUCGAAUAUCUAUUCUACAUUAAGCAUAGUUCAAUUUUGAAUUGACCUACGAAUCGUGGUGGCAUUAAUUUAAACAAAUCCAGUACAAAGUUUGGACAGGAUUCCAAUCCGUAUUGAGAGAAGAACAUGAUAACUCGGUCGAAACUCGUAGAGCAACUCAGAGAUAACCAGAUCCGAUCCCAACACAAGUGCCUCGCCCUUACUGUAUUUUCUCCCAAACCUGCUAUUGCCUCCUGGUAAGCCCUACAUGCAUAUACAAACCUGAUUUUACAUACGAAGUUAUAUGCAUAUGUGUUUGUCUGUCGUUGUGUUUGCUUAUGUUGGUUCGUCAAUAUUGGAGAUUCUUACACUAAAUUAGCUAUUGUACACAUGGGUGCAUUAGUUAUGUGAUGUUCUUGUGUUAAAUAGGCUUAUGUUGUAAUAAUUGGCAUCCUUCACACUUGAAUUAUUUUGAAUACAUGGGUGAAACAAUUAAAUAUGGAUCACAUAUCACUCGUGGACAAGUGCUUCUAAUUGUGGUACCAGAGCAUGAAACCCUUUUCUGAGAAACACAUGUAGCGGAUGAUGUGACUGGGAGAGACCUACUUUCAAUAAUACACUAGUUCUGUGGAGUUCUCUGAGAUAGAAAAAUGGGAUGUUGUGGAAGAGGUGUAAAUAAGAAGGAACACUUCUGAAUCCCACAGUGCUCGUGGAACAUCCACCUUGUGGCUUUAUAAGCACACUGCACAUCAUUUCCUUAUUACAAGUUGAUUUUAAGAUAUUCCUAUCCAAAUGCUUGUAAUAAUGUAUUGAAAAACUAGAAUGGUGUUUGCACUUUUGUAGUUAUUGACAUUCUUUGGGAUACAGUCUUUAAUUAAAAAAAUUUUUUAUGGACGUAAUCCAUCACCCAUACGUAUAAUCACUUGGUUCUAAGGGCGGGGGCCUAUACUAUUAGUAUGUCCAUGAAUCUUCAGAAUCAAUUUAUGACAUUUCUUGAGAUGCCGCCCAUGCCCAGCCCACUCCUCUGGCCCCUUAAUCCAUUCAAAGAACACAACGAAGUAGGAGUAUACAAGGCUGAGAGCAUGUUUGGCUAAGAUAAAAAGAAAAGUAAAGUAAUUUUUAAGUAACCUUUUGUCUCAAAACAUGUUUGCUUAACUUACUAUUUUUCUUACUUUUACGUUAACAAAGUUACUUCUAAAGUAACAAGUGUGUUACUUUUGAAACAAGUAACUUAAUUUCACUAAUAAAGAAUUAUUUGUUUUCAUAUUUACUUUUUUUAUAGGUGAACUUUUUAAGCUUAGCUAAACAAUGCUCUUUACUCAAAUUGCCUAACCUCCUAAUCAAAUACUGAAUAGUUUAUUAAUUGUCAUCUUAUUAGAAAAUGGACCCUAGAUGGAAGAGAAAUCUGUAAAUUGAGGACUCUAACCCCUUUAAUGCAACAUGCUGAAACUUUUUACAGGUACACAAUUCU
Molecule: long non-coding RNA, 1610 nt
Filed under: Olea europaea subsp. europaea
Lineage: Eukaryota; Viridiplantae; Streptophyta; Magnoliopsida; Lamiales; Oleaceae
Source: RNAcentral